GGCAGGUAAUAUAUACAAGACUUUUAUAAUAAUUAUGAAAUUAAAAAGGCUUUUAGUCCUGGCAACUACUAGUAUAGGACAUUUUAUUAGUUAUAUCAUAUUCACUGAACAUACGAAAAAUAAAACUAACAUAUAUUCAUGUUGAUGUGCAUUGUACACAAAAUCAGGCUCGAGUCGAAGGUUCGAAGUCAAAAUACGUUAGUAUACUAGUUACAUCUUAGAAGAGCGAUUAUCGGGCCAUUUGUUUUUAUCUUAUAAAUUCUUUUAACGUAUUUUGACUUCGAAUACCACUGGCUCGAGCCUGGUGAUGUGUACAAUGCACAUUAACAUGAAGAUAUGUUAGUUUUAUUUUUUGAAUGUUCUUGAUGAUGCUCCAUUUACGGCUACAUUAUAUUGGGUGUAAACUUUUGGUUACAAGAAGAGAACUUAUAUUAGAUUU
This 439-nucleotide long non-coding RNA is filed under the name Mytilus galloprovincialis (Mediterranean mussel). The record is from RNAcentral. Lineage: Eukaryota; Metazoa; Mollusca; Bivalvia; Mytilida; Mytilidae.